UUUCCGUAGGUGAACCUGCGGAAGGAUCAUUAUUACACAACCGAGCUGCGACGCGUGCCACUGAGCAGAAAGGUCGAACACUUCCCAGUGCCCUCACACACAUGCAUCUCAACCUUAUGUUCACCACCGCGUGGGCCCUCCUCUGGCGGGUUGGGUGGUUGGUUGACUUAUCCUUACAAAUAUGGUACGCACUGCAGACUGUAUCUUUUGUUUUGCCGAUCACGCAAGCAAUACAACUUUCAACAACGGACCUUUUGGCUCUCCCUUCGAUGAAGUACC
This 279-nucleotide unclassified non-coding RNA is filed under the name plant metagenome. Its description in RNAcentral is "partial contains small subunit ribosomal RNA, internal transcribed spacer 1, and 5.8S ribosomal RNA". The record is from RNAcentral.